This 248-nucleotide ribosomal RNA is filed under the name uncultured bacterium. RNAcentral describes it as "partial 16S ribosomal RNA". It matches the Rfam family "Bacterial small subunit ribosomal RNA", at positions 108 to 353 of the family's 1533-position model. The record is from RNAcentral.
GAGUAACGCGUGAGUAACCUGCCUUCAANAGGGGGAUAACAUUCUGAAAAGAAUGCUAAUACCGCAUGACAUAUCGGAACCACAUGGUUUUGAUAUCAAAGAUUUUAUCGCUUGAAGAUGGACUCGCGUCCGAUUAGUUAGUUGGUGAGGUAACGGCUCACCAAGACCGCGAUCGGUAGCCGGACUGAGAGGUUGAACGGCCACAUUGGGACUGAGACACGGCCCAGACUCCUACGGGAGGCAGCAUG